GACGAACGCUGGCGGCGUGCCUAAUACAUGCAAGUGGGACGCAAGGGAACACACUGUGCUUGCACACCGUGUUUUCUUGAGUCGCGAACGGGUGAGUAACGCGUAGGUAACCUGCCUAUUAGCGGGGGAUAACUAUUGGAAACGAUAGCUAAUACCGCAUAAUAUUAAUUAUUGCAUGAUAAUUGAUUGAAAGAUGCAAGCGCAUCACUAGUAGAUGGACCUGCGUUGUAUUAGCUAGUUGGUAAGGUAAGAGCUUACCAAGGCGACGAUACAUAGCCGACCUGAGAGGGUGAUCGGCCACACUGGGACUGAGACACGGCCCAGACUCCUACGGGAGGCAGCAGUAGGGAAUCUUCGGCAAUGGACGAAAGUCUGACCGAGCAACGCCGCGUGAGUGAAGAAGGUUUUCGGAUCGUAGAGCUCUGUUGUAAGUCAAGAACGUGUGUGAGAGUGGAAAGUUCACACAGUGACGGAGCUACCAGA
RNAcentral lists this ribosomal RNA (483 nucleotides) under Streptococcus mutans. RNAcentral's name for it is "bacterial SSU rRNA". It matches the Rfam family "Bacterial small subunit ribosomal RNA", at positions 28 to 487 of the family's 1533-position model. The record is from RNAcentral. Lineage: Bacteria; Bacillati; Bacillota; Bacilli; Lactobacillales; Streptococcaceae.